This 303-nucleotide ribosomal RNA is filed under the name Triticum aestivum (bread wheat). RNAcentral's name for it is "partial small subunit ribosomal RNA". Lineage: Eukaryota; Viridiplantae; Streptophyta; Magnoliopsida; Poales; Poaceae. The record is from RNAcentral.
AUGUGUGUCCAAGAAGAGGACAGACUCAAAGCCUCACAUGGUGGUACACUCAACUAUGUGAAGGGUCACAAGAAAAAGAAUUACAAUCAAAACAACAAAAGUUCUCCUUCAAAGCCACAAGGAAAAGCUCCCUAUCAACAUCAGCGUCAGCAACAACCUUUCCCAGUGGACAAAGACACUUGUCUCCACUGUAAGCAGACCGGGCAUUACAAGAAAGACUGCCCUGUUUGGCUGAAGUCCUUAAUGGCAAAGCAAGGGAUUCCAUUCGACCCGGACUACGCUAAGAAGAGAAAGAGGCAUUGA